ACAAACACCCGCAGAAACCCUAAUCUCUAUCUCUCUCGAUCGCGACCUCGAUCUCGAUCGAUCGAUCAUGGCUGGUUUGGGGCUGUACCACACGGACUGCAAGUCGGUACUGUCGCAAAUCAAGCAUCAAGAGAAGCGGAUGGCGCUAAAGAGAAGGUGGUUGAUGGGGGUACCAUUGUCCAAGUCAGAGUUAAAGCAUUUAGAAGGGCCGAAGUUUUUAAAGAAAAAGGUCCUACGUGAAUCGAUGCUCAGGGAAGAUGAUAUAUUCUAUGAGACUGCUAAGAUGAAUGUUGAAGAAGCUAUCUUAUCGCAUGAUAUGGAGCGAGGAUGCAGUGGUGGUGCAGAAAUUGUUAAAUCAUCUGACAUGCCUAAUUUGCUAAAGGAAAUUCUAUCUCAUCUAAAUGAUAUGACCAAUAAGGGCCUUUAUCAUUUUGCUAUGAUUGUUACUAGGGGGUCUGUUGAGUUUGACAAAACUCGCUGGAAGAUGAAGAAACUUGUUAGGCAAACUGUCCGUAAAGUAUGCCAUAUUGAAAAGAACACUCAAUGGGAUAAUGUUACUUUUAAGAAGCUCUAUCAACUUCUAAAUGACCCACGAAAUUUCCGAGGAAAUUGUCUGAAUCAUUUGGCUCCUACAUCUCAUUCUCAAAGGGCAGCGGCUUUGAAGCUCCUGGGUAGACUUGAGGAACUCUCUAUGCCGGCUCUGAUUGCAAUGUAUAGGAAACUAAGAUGUGUACAGGGGAGAGUUCCUCGGUUGGAGCCCUUCAAAAGUGGACGGAGCCGAGAUGAUCUGAUAAAAAAAGUGAGGAAAACUAGUAGAAACAUGUUGCUGGAUCUUGGUUCAAGAGAUUGUAUACCAGAACCACUAGCUAAAGCAAUGGCUAUAGCAGUGUUAUCUUUAAAGCUAGCAUCAGGCUUUCAAAGAUCCGCAGGAAUGGAGUUUUACCAAUUUGCACCGGAAAUUAGAAGUUUGCAGGAUGAAAUUGUGAAGGCUGUUUGGCUACUGAACUCAAAAGUUAGAUUUCAGGAGCUGAAAGUUUUUCAGUCACUGCUGGACCCCAGUGCUAAAGUCUCAAAUAGUCGUCUAAGAACAGCAGUCAAGAACGUUUUGACUGAGUAUCUUUUCGAAUGCUCUGAUUUGGAUGUGAUCCCAAGGUCUUUAUUGGAGAGUCUGGCUUUUAUUAACAGGAAUUCUCGAACUGCACCACCUUCAUCCUUUCCUAAGGAGGAAGUUGAAGAAGAAGUAGAAUGCAGUUUGGUUGUCAGUGCCCAUAUGAAGCAGAAUGUCUGGGAUUUGCUUCCGGAAAUUGGGUAUGAUACAGAUUUCGCCAAUGCUUAUAUGGAAGAAUUGGAAGAAAGUGAUGAUGACGCUGACUCCGAUUAUGAAGAUGAGAGACAUACAAGGAUAUUAAAGAGUGGAAGGUCUGACAACAUUGAUUCAUUGUUUCCAGUGGAAGGUACUGGAGAGUCUAUUACUGAUAGCUCCAACCUGCCUUUUAUUAAUAUUAAGGGUAAUGGUAGUUCUCCCAGUCACACCCCAAGGAAAGUGUUUUACAGUGCUGCUGCAAUUAAAUGUGAGCCAGAUAUCUCACCCGGUAUUGCCUCCACUGCUGCUUGGUAUAGCAGUUCUUCCUUGUUAUUCCAAGACUCAAAGAGUUCUGAAGGCUUGAAUGGCAUGGAUAUAGAUGAUUUAAAGCCAUUGAGCAACUUUAGUUCUGCUAAAAUCAAUAGCGAUGGUCCCUUCUCUUUUCUGUCACCCAACACAGGGUUUGCAAAAUCUCUCAAGAGACACAAGGCUGAAGAUGAUGAACUGAAGAAUCAACAAAGGGAUGUCUUGAACAGACCAAGCACUUGCAUAAAUCGAUACCUUGCUGUCCAGGAAGCUUGUGAUGAAACAAGUAUAAUUGCCUAUAAUUUGGUAGGUUAUAUAUUGGAAGAAUUUGCACAAAGAGAAGGUUUGAAUCUAGAAAUGAACGAGAGUUCAUAUCUGGGGCGUGAUCAGUCCAAUGAAGAAGGUCAUGAAGAAAAGAAGGAUUCUAGUCAUCACGAGGGCUCAGAAGAUUUUGUCAUCCAUAGAGCACUCGAAAAUCUAGUUCCAUGCCUCAAGAAGAGUGUGAUGGAAAGAUUGAAGGAGUGCACAGGCAUUCCUUAGAGGUCUACUCUCAAUGGGAAGGGGAUCAUAUCCUUGUUCCUCAAGUAAUCUCUGGAAUCUUGCUUGAAUUAAGCUCCAUAGUUAAUGGCUGCAUAUGGCGGGAGUUGAAGACUUUGUCUCCAUGGGGAAUUAUCUGGGGAAAGAUGAGAAGACUUGCAAAAAGCUGACUUGUUUGGCCAGGGAAAGAAGACCUGCUGGGCCUCAUGCCUGAUGGAUGAAAUGGAUCCUAUGGUAAUCUCAAAGCAGUUGGCCAUCCUGAUGCCAUGAUUCGGAUGGAUAUUGGCUCAGCUUGGAAGCAGGAUUCAUGUGUCCGACCUUACAGAAUGUGGCAACUCAAAUUUAAAGUCUUGGUUGUUGGCGAACCUCCCAAUCUCCUUGUCAAUUUUCAACUUCCACGAGGUGCUCUUCCUAACACCAGCUAUAGAUCAACUCCGUGAGUUCAAUCUUCAGGUUUUGCGAGGAAAAAAGUUUCAUGUUCUUGCGACUCGCAACUGAUGUGCAAGGGCUUAUGAAAUUUCCGAGUCCACUCAGCACAGACACAUGGACGCUCCUCGUGGCUUCCCAGGUCCGUAUAAAUGUCGUGCACAAAGUCGUUGGUUUUCUCUCGGUUUUAAGCUCAAACUCUAGGUCGAGCAAGGCGUUCUUUCUAUGCUUUUUCACUUACUUAUUUCUGGUUGAGGUGUGUGCGUGAGACCGGCUUAACUUGUCCAUGGCAGCUCAUGGCGUGAAAAACAGUGUAUUUGUGGCACUUUGAAAAUUAUUCAGAUGCUCAGCAUUAAAAAACGUACUGACUUCAGAAUGCAAAGACCUGGUUGAGCGGGUCGUUUAUCUUUCUUCCCUACAUCAUUUCAGGUUGUAAGAGAUCAUUCAAUAGUAAAGAGGUAUGCGAACAACCCCCGAUUAAAAUCAUUCCAAAUGGUCUACAUUCUUCCUAGUUUAACCCUCCCAAAACAAUCCUUCGAUUUGCUGUUUCCCGCACUUUACAUUCACAGGCACGAUAUAACUAACACGGAUGCGUUCUUCUUAGUCGAAGCGUUCCAGGAGCUCUUGUAAUUAUAACUGAGAUUUCUCCACCGAGCUCUCAAACUUUUAUUAUUCAUCGGACGCGCUUUACUACAUUAUUCAUCGUCGUGUUAGUAUUUAGGCCUGAUUCUGGGUAUAUUUCAUUUCGAUGAGGGGGUAUCUGAACACAUUUCCUUUGUGUAUGUUCUGGGUCCUACUUCGGUGACUCAAUGGCGUUCCUGACAAGGAUAUGUUCUCAACAUACUGAUUUGAGCUUCGGGUGACGCGACUGAGGUUUCAUUGCGUUAGUUAACUUUCCCUCUUGUUCCUUGUGCCGGUGCGUGGAGGUCGAGCCGUAGAUGGGAUGAUCGGCAGAAGAGUCUAUGUUCAUUAUUCUGAUGCUCUAGUUUGAUGAACUCCGGUUGUCUGAGGUCCUGUUGUGAUGUUGUGUGUAUAAAUUGGUUUUGGUGUUCA
RNA transcript from Syzygium oleosum, 3625 nucleotides. RefSeq lists it as uncharacterized. The transcript is spliced from 7 exons. Lineage: Eukaryota; Viridiplantae; Streptophyta; Magnoliopsida; Myrtales; Myrtaceae. The record is from RefSeq and is a predicted model, not a curated record.